AUGUUGGGUCUCUCUCUCAUCUGUAGCCGGUUCAGUAUGUGCCUCUUUACCGCCUCCAGGAAAUCGAUGUUCAUGAGCUCCGACUGAUCCGGCGCCCUGAAGCCGCAGGACGCGCACGACUCCUGGGUCUGUGAUCUUUCUGGAGCCUCGGCCUCAAAAUAUGUGGAAUUCUACUCCAACAAAACAUGGCGGAUACUUCGGAGCAUAGAGACUGAAACCAAUGAGUGACAUCACAGCGGCUGUACAGUCCAUGAGCAACACACAAGGAAACAUAUUGCCAUGUCUGAUGCAAGAAAAACUAUACCCACUGGCAGAACUCCAGGAAAAACACCAGGCCCUGCUCUUUACUUGAUACGCCCACCGUUGCAGUGAUGCAUGGUGGAGGCAGCAUCAUGCUGUGGAGGCAUUCCUCAACUAGUAGAUAUGGUUGCUAGGGUGAUUUCAGCCAAGCAUAUCCACAGUUUGAAGGUUAGAUGUUCAACAGCGAUUUCUCCAGCACCAGGGACAGGAGACUCCCCAUCCAGCCCAACCAAGCUUGAGAUGAUCUUCUAGGAAGAGUGGGAGAAACUUCCCAAAUCCAAGAGUCUGUACACACUCAACCAAGAUGUCCAAAAUGUAACUGCUGGCAAACAGGCUUUGAAAAAACUAAGAGUCUGAAUAUCACAUCUGAAAUUUUAGCUUUUAAUUCUGAAUGCAUAAAAAAAAUAUGUAAACUGGAUUUUAAAAAAUGUAAUCUGUAACACAAUAAAGCAUCAAUAGUUUUUUUUUAAUGCAAUGAUUAAAUGUAAUAAUCCAGUUGUAAAGGGAUGUCAUAAUACUUACAACACUUGAUAUUUUAUACUUCACUCUUUUGGUAAUCUAUAAUAACCUCUCAAAUUUAACUACAUAAGAAGAAAACAUCAGUGUAGGAUUCCUUUCAUCGGGUCUUUAGCUCUACAAUCCCCAAAGGAAAAGGCACCUGCUGCUCUAAAUGAGGGCCAGUAUGUUGCACAGCAGUCAGAUUAGACUGUGCAGCCUCUAAGUCCCAGUAAGAGUGCCUGUUGUAGUUUUCAGAAGCGUCUGUGUGUCAUGUGUGGAGCAGCAAUGUAGGUCAAUAGGUCAAAAGAAAUGAAGAGCAGCAGCAGCGGCGAUGGAUUAGAGGAGCCUGGCCUGCAGCAUAAUAGCUGAUUAAGUUACUCUCCUACAGGUGUACCCACACAAAGCCAGAGUAAUCCCAGAACAGAUGUACUUACCUAAUCAGAGAGAAAAUAAAAGUUGGAUCAAUAAAGGUCAACAUGAACUCUAUUUAGCAUUUUAUUAAUGCUGAGAUUCUAGGCAGACCCAGUGUUCAAAUUCACUGAACUUCUCGGUAAAAUCAAGUGGAAAUCCAAAGUUUCUGAGGUUUACAUUCUGACUUCCCCUUUUUUUGGUAAACUCAGCCUGAAGUCCACAGAUAUUUUUCAAAAAUAUGUAACUUUUCAUUUUUAAAGAGUGGGUUUUAGCAAACCCCAAACAUGAGGAUUUGUUGCACUUUACAGGGACAAUUUACAGAAGUGGAUUAAUAAAAACAUUUGAAGCCUUGGCAUUUCUAACAGGAUUUCUGGGGAAAAAGAGGGUCAGCCAUGAAACAUGUUUAAAUUUAGAAAGUCAUAAAAGUUCAGUGCAAUAAAGCGCCAAUGGUCAUAUAGAGAUCUUUUUAGACAUCCAGUAACUCUGAGGCAGUUACAUUAAAGUGUUACACAUUACUCAAAAAAUAAAGCACAGACAGCAUACAGGACACAACAGCAGCAUCGUACAAACUCCAUCAGCUACAAUGAAGGUACAGGAGCCCCUCGGUGACAAUAUUUGCAUCUAAUGUAAUAAAAACUUCAUGAAUUCAUAGCUGUUUAAAGGGGAUUGAGCCGGUCAUGAAAAUCUGAUGUAAACGACAAAGUUCUUUUUAAAAACAGACAUAACUUGAUGAAAUCAAACCCAUCUGUGAGUUUAAAGGGAUUUUUAGUCAGAAGUGAAAACAGACAUAGGUAAACAGUUCAUCUCCUGGAGCUCAUUGAUGGAGUCUGUGGAGCUGUGACGCCCUCUUGUGUAGUGUAGCUGACAUUACUGUUAGGUGAAAGCAUUCGUUGAUUGCGCUUCAGAUUUGGAAGAUUGUCAGGCUGGACUGUGUUCAAAUUUCUGAGCACGUGAAAACAUUUCCAAACGGUCACAGCUGUGUGGUCAGUAAGAGGAGCCGAUCAGCGGGCAGGUUCAGUGUUUCAAAGUUUUAUGACAAUUUCCUUUUGUUUUUGUUAAGGUUGUGUCCUGGCAUAAGGACGCACUCAGCGCACUAUUAUUUUACAACUCACUAAUAUUCCUCACUGACCUUUAGGUGACCUUUAGGUGAUAUUUCUAUGUACUUUUGCAAUACUUUUUAAUUGAAAAAAAAUUAAUCCUUUUAGAGAAUUUGUUAUGACUUUGACACUCUUCAGAUAUUUGAGGGAUCUAUAUAUUUUCUGUUUCUGCGAAAAAUCUUGCCGAUCUUCCACAUCUGCAGCCCAGAUGUUCAGAUUUAGUUUGAAAGUAAAGCAUGGAGGUAACAAACAGCCUGACUGUGAGGUCUCCAGUGCAAUAUGUUGUUGAUCAAAGUAUUGCACAGUCGUCAUGUUAAAAUAAUAUAAGCAUACUGUAAAUCAGUCAAACAUACGUUCAGUUUACUUUUUGUACUUUUAUUAAAACAAAGAAGUUGUUUUGUGAGAAGUAACAGAUGGGAAUUGUUUAAAUAAAUGUCCUUAUCGUAGAACAGGUUAGAAUUUCUGUCAUGAAGCUAUAUUCCUGUAAAAAUAUGAGAACAUAAAUCAUUUUGGUCAUUUUAAAAGGAGCUGUGGGAGAAGCUCAGCUGACGAGCAAAUGCAACACGAUUUCAAACAUAUUUUUUACUCAAGUAGAAAUAUUCUUAACUCACUCAGACACACGUUCACCUUUGUUGGCACCACCUGAAGGGAGUUUGUGUAUUUUAAAUGAGUAUUUCUUGCUCAUACGGUUUCGAUUCAGCUCAGCAGGUUUGCUCAUUACAGUUGAUUUUUUAUUGUUUGAUAAUGUUCAGUUUUAGAUUAGCUGUUCUGUCUCAUGUGAUGUGUGGUAUUGAUCAUAGACAGAUUUAAGGAGGUCAGAAGAAUAAAAUAAUCCAUCACAACACAAAGAGCUGACUCACUCUUUAGAUGUCCCUGCCUCAGUAAGUACCAAUGGUAAGUACACACACUCCAAAGCCUUCUGACACUGCAAAUACUUAUUUUAAUGUUAAUGAAAUAAUACUUAUUUUUCAUUUAUUUCUGUUUUGCUCUUUUUUCAGUUCAUUAGAUACCUGAGUAUAGCUGUUGCCUAUCUGUAUGACCGCAAUGUACCCAUCUUCUGAUGGCUGCUUCCAGCAGGAUAACAUGCUGUGUCACAUAUCUGGUAUCUGGUAUCAUCAAGAUGACAAUGAGUUCAAUGUACAGCCACUGUGUGAUGCUGUCAUGUCAAUGUGGAACAAAAUCUCUCUGAGGAAUGUUUGCAGAAACUUGGGUGAAUCUGCGCCAUGAACAAUUAACUAAAGUAGGUCCACCCUGGUGGUAGCAUGGUGUACCUAAUGAAGUGUACAAUGGGAGUACAACUAAGAAUAAAAAUGCACUGAAUCUGUCUUUAUUAAUACAGGAAUAAACAACUACAGGACCAAAAUAAAUAAAAUGAUGACCUGCUUUGUUUGUCCUCCUCACAGCUCAGUGUGGGAGUCUUUCCUCCAGUUAUUUACAGUCACGUUAGUUUCUCCUUUCUCAGUCUCUGUGAUGCACCUCCUCAAACACAGGGUGGAGCAGACAGACACCGGAGAAGGCAAAUCAUAUUAAUGAUGUGCUCUACAGCAUGUUACUGCAAGUGUAAAACCAAGUGUAAAAAAAGUGUUAAACCAAGCCUUUUAGUGGAGCUGGCUCAGUUGCUGGGGAGUAAAAAACGUUUGCAAACAUCAAAGAAAACCUGUCAGUGAAGCAGCAUCUAACCUCUCCACACUGCUGACGCCUAGUUUAUAAAACACAGAACACAGAGCUCAGCCCGAUUCAGCUUUCUGAGUCAAAUAUCAGAUCGCUGAAUCGCUGUUUUUCUCAGAUUUUGUUCCUUUGUGUACAUGAACACAGACAUACACAUAUGGAGGCACCGACUGUGAAAUUCUGGGCUGAUGCUCACUAAAGAUCUGAUUCCAAUACCUUCCCUGUUCUUACAGACACUAUGAACAGAUACACAGAACAGAUACUGUGUUUUUUCACAUUCACUGUAAACAGAACACCACAGCUUUCUGUAAUGCCAUUUUCCCACAAUUUACUUGAAUGUUGCAAAAAAUGUUAAAUUCAAAA
Long non-coding RNA from Oreochromis niloticus (Nile tilapia), 4337 nucleotides. RefSeq lists it as uncharacterized. Lineage: Eukaryota; Metazoa; Chordata; Actinopteri; Cichliformes; Cichlidae. The record is from RefSeq and is a predicted model, not a curated record. The transcript is spliced from 2 exons.